This is a non-coding RNA of Neoarius graeffei (lesser salmon catfish), 339 nucleotides long. NCBI's taxonomy places the organism in Eukaryota, Metazoa, Chordata, Actinopteri, Siluriformes, Ariidae. The record is from the annotation of a RefSeq genome assembly.
AUGUUCACUGUUAUAUUCAUGUGUCUGUGGCUUUCACUCGGUGACUCCAUGGCAGAUUCAAUAAAGCCACUUUUCACUCAAACAGUUAUAGAUGAAGGCAGUGAUGUUACUCUGUCCUGCAACUAUCAACCAACUAGUACUACAUCACCCGACCUGCAGUGGUACAGACAAUAUCCAAAAUCUCAACCUGACUUCCUUCUUUAUAUAUCAGAAAGUGGAUAUAAAAGUGACUCAAUCCCACCACGUCUCUCUGCUGAAGUUCAUGAAAAGAAGAAACAAGUGGAUCUGCUCAUCUCCUCUGCUGCUGUAUCAGACUCUGCACUAUACUACUGUGCUCUG